AGCUGAUCUGAGUGCAAUGGUGUUUACAACUGAUUGAUCACAACAAGUUACAGAUGUCUUUGUUCCUUCUCCAUUCCCACUGCUUUUCUUGAUUAGCCUUAA
Molecule: unclassified non-coding RNA, 102 nt
Organism: Gorilla gorilla gorilla (western lowland gorilla)
Lineage: Eukaryota; Metazoa; Chordata; Mammalia; Primates; Hominidae
Rfam family: Y RNA
About the family: Y RNAs are components of the Ro ribonucleoprotein particle (Ro RNP), in association with Ro60 and La proteins. The Y RNAs and Ro60 and La proteins are well conserved, but the function of the Ro RNP is not known.
Source: Ensembl